Molecule: long non-coding RNA, 1233 nt
Organism: Pseudophryne corroboree (corroboree frog)
Lineage: Eukaryota; Metazoa; Chordata; Amphibia; Anura; Myobatrachidae
Exons: 2
Source: RefSeq, a predicted model, not a curated record
UGUUUCAUUACAGGUGAUGGCAAUCAUAGAGGGAAGAGAGCAGAGUAUUCUGUCCCUCCUGGAGAGGGUCAUGUUGGGAGUCUACAACGUUCCACAGCAGAAAAAGAAACUGAACAAAACAGAACAAACGGUCAGAGCAAUGAUGUCCAUUAUCGUGGAGCACCUGUGUGAGGCGGAUAGUGAGCUGAAUUCCCAGAAAGAUUUACGAAUUGAGAGAUAUCUUGCGUCCGAAAAGGAAAUGCAUCAAUCAUUUAUGACGCAGUUAAUGACCAUGCAUGAGAGGCAGAUGUAAUUUUUUGAGCGCACAUUUGCACGUACUCUAGAGAUUACCACACAAGCACAACAGCAAGACACAGCCUACCCACAGCACCCAUAUGGUCCAUACAACUAUGAGCCUCCCUCAAAUCCCACAACACAAAUCCCGCAAUCCUCAGAAUAUCGGGUUUAUAGACAAUUGCCUUAAUUAAGGCAAGCUGUUGAUAAAACAAUGUUUGUGUGUUAAGGUUCUGUUUGCCUUUUUAUCUGUUUUAUUGUUAUCUCAAAGAUGUGCGGCAGUGGGAUCCGAAUAUUGAUACCUACAAAGCCAAAUGUUAGGGGAUUUUUACAGAGUGUUCUGUUUGCACUUUACUCUUUUAUAUUGUUACCCCUGAAUAUGUGCGGCAGUGGGAUCCAAAUAUUGGGGGUACCCUGGUACCUAGACAGCCAAAUGUUAGUGGAUUUUUCAGAAUGUUCUGUUUGCACUUUACUUUUUUAUAUUGUUAUCUCAGAAAACGUGCGGCAGUGGGAUCCAAAUAUUGGGGGUACCCUGAUACCUAGAAAGUCAAACGUUAGGGGAUUUUUACAGGGUUCUGUUUGCACUUUACUCUUUUAUAUUGUUAUCUCAGAAAAUGUGCGGCAGUGGGAUCCAAAUAUUGGGGUUACCCUGAUACCUGCCAAACAGUAGGGCAGGCGUCUUCAACAUGUGGCCCUUUAGCUGUUGUGGAAAUACAUAGCAAGGCAUCCUGGGACAUGUAGUUCUACAACAGCUGGAGGGCCACAUGUUGAAGAUCCCUUGCGUUAUGGGGAUUAUUACAGAGUGUUCUGUUUGCACUUCAAUAUUUUAUAUUGUUACCUCAGAAAAUGUGUGCCAACUGUUUAAAAGCAAACAUAUAAUAACUUAUAACUUUUGAACAAUUUUUAUAACAGAGAAAUUGUAGAAAACAAAAUAAACAAAAAACUGUUUGCACACAAAAA